GACGAACGCUGGCGGCGUGCUUAACACAUGCAAGUUGAACGGAAAGGCCCUGCUUUUGUGUGGUGCUCGAGUGGCGAACGGGUGAGUAACACGUGAGUAACCUGCCCUUGACUUUGUGAUAACUUCAGGAAACUGGGGCUAAUACCGGAUAGGAGCUCCUGCUGCAUGGUGGGGGUUGGAAAGUUUCGGCGGUUGGGGAUGGACUCGCGGCUUAUCAGCUUGUUGGUGGGGUAGUGGCUUACCAAGGCUUUGACGGGUAGCCGGCCUGAGAGGGUGACCGGCCACAUUGGGACUGAGAUACGGCCCAGACUCCUACGGGAGGCAGCAGUGGGGAAUAUUGCACGAUGGGCGGAAGCCUGAUGAAGCAACGCCGCGUGCGGGAUGACGGCCUUCGGGUUGUAAACCGCUUUCGCCUGUGACGAAGCGUGAGUGACGGUAAUGGGUAAAGAAGCACCGGCUAACUACGUG
RNAcentral lists this ribosomal RNA (468 nucleotides) under uncultured bacterium. RNAcentral describes it as "partial 16S ribosomal RNA". It matches the Rfam family "Bacterial small subunit ribosomal RNA", at positions 28 to 507 of the family's 1533-position model. The record is from RNAcentral.